GAUGAACGCUAGCGGGAGGCUUAACACAUGCAAGUCGAGGGGCAGCACAGGUAGCAAUACCGGGUGGCGACCGGCGCACGGGUGAGUAACGCGUAUGCAACCUACCCUGUACAGGGGGAUAGCCCGGAGAAAUUCGGAUUAAUACCCCAUGGAAAUAUUGAGAGGCAUCUUGAGAUAUUUAAAGUUCCGGCGGUACGGGAUGGGCAUGCGUAACAUUAGCUAGUUGGUAAGGUAACGGCUUACCAAGGCUUUGAUGUUUAGGGGUCCUGAGAGGGUGGUCCCCCACACUGGUACUGAGACACGGACCAGACUCCUACGGGUGGCUG
RNAcentral lists this ribosomal RNA (326 nucleotides) under uncultured Bacteroidota bacterium. Its description in RNAcentral is "bacterial SSU rRNA". It matches the Rfam family "Bacterial small subunit ribosomal RNA", at positions 28 to 351 of the family's 1533-position model. The record is from RNAcentral. Lineage: Bacteria; Pseudomonadati; Bacteroidota.